This 9243-nucleotide long non-coding RNA is filed under the name Gossypium barbadense (sea-island cotton). RNAcentral's name for it is "long non-coding RNA (GBAR_LNC007436)". Lineage: Eukaryota; Viridiplantae; Streptophyta; Magnoliopsida; Malvales; Malvaceae. The record is from RNAcentral.
AGAUCGAAAUUCAGACUUAUACCGACAUUCAAAAGUUACCAUAUUCACAUGGCUUAUAUACAACAACAUCUUCAAAAUAUCAUCCACAUAAGUCUAGUCUAUACAUGCCAUACAAAUUCCAAAACAUAAUAGUACCAAAACGAUAGAUAGUGUGACGAGUUGCUGACGAUCCCCGAGCAAGUGGCUGGAGUCAACGAUCUAAAAACAGAGAAACAUAACAAACGGAGUAAGCUUCCACAAGUAUAGUAAGUUUUAAGCAAUACAAAUAAUUAAAUUAAAUUAUAAAUCGAUCAAUCAAAUUCUCAAGUGACAUUUCUUAGGUAUAUUGCCAUUUGGCCGAAUAUAUAUACAAACAUUUAAUGUAUAUUUAGCAUAUUAACUUCACUUGAAUCUGAAUUCAUAUAACAUAAGUAAAUCAAAUAUUUUCACAUAACUUCACAUUUUGGUCGAAUGUAUCAGGAUCAUAUACAUAUAGUCUUAAUACUUAUUCACAUAUACAUCAUAUUACAUACUUGGGAUUCAAUCCCCAAUAAAGCUCAUAUAAGUACAAGAUACAUACCUGGCCAACUUAAGGUAUUACACGAUUUCAAUUGUCGUUUUGUCAUGAAAUCUCAAAAUUUUAGAUUUAUAUCAAAUAACCGGCAAUUAGCCUGCUAGGUUUAAAACCCGAAUUCAUCACCGGCACAAAGCCUCUAGACUUUAAGUCUGAACUCAUUCACCGACAUUACGCCUGCUAGGCUCGAAGCACGAUAUUAAUUCACCAGCAUUAUAGCCUGCUAGGCUCGAAGCCUGAUAUUAACUCACCGGUAUUAUAGCCUGCUAGGCUCGAAGGCUCGAAUAGUACCGUACGAUAAUCAAAUCAACAAGUUUCAUAUAACAUAAUCAUAUCAAUUAGGUACUAGCAUCAUGUGAACAUAUAUAAUUAUACAUCUCAAACACUUUUCUCUCAUCUCAUUUUCACACUUAGCAUUCGAUAGCUUAUGCAUAACAUUUCGCUCACAUUCAUUUCAAACUUAUCAUUCGAUUAUAAAAGCACAUUGCAUAUUUAUCAACAUGUUAUACUUGCCAUUAGGCCAUAUAAGCAUGAUACAAUACACCAUCAUUUCAUCUUUAACAUUCGGCUAAAUCCAUACCUUACAAGGAGUACCUAAUUCACAUAAUAUAUCAGAUUAUAAUCAAUUGUUAUUUACGUUUGAUUACUUAAAACUUACCUCAGAUGUUAUCGAACGAUUACAACGGCUAUUCGAUUACUUUCUCCUUUCCCCUAUCCAACUUUGGUCCUCUAAGUUCUUGAGCUAAAUCAAACAAAUUUACUUCUCAAUCAAACACAUACAUACGGCAACCAUAUACAUUUCAAAAACCAAUUCAUUCGUAUCAUUUGUCCACUUAAGUCUAUCACCAUUUCAUUUUCAAAUUUAUGUACUUUGUAAGUCACAUUCGAACACAUUCGGUACUAUGCAUCUUUUCAAAUAUUUCUUUUAACAUUAAACUCAACUUAUAACUUUCUUCUAAUUAAAAACAUUCAACACCAACUAGUCAUGCUUACAUGUCAUAGCCGAAUAUCAUUUUAGACAUUUGAGAAAUCAUUUCUCAACUCAACUUAUAAUUGUGAAUCUCAUUCAAAACAUCCACACCAAUUUAUUAUACAAUUAACCAUAGCCAAAUACUAAAUCAAAUAGAUAUUUGUUCACAUUUCCAUAACACAUAUUUAUCAACUAGUCCAUAUAUUAGCUUUUAGUCAUUAGAGUGACCUAUUUAACUUUCAAGCAUUCAUUUCUAAUUUUAAUUAAACGAUGCCGAAUGCCAUUAACUACUAAUGCCACACACACAUAUGCAUAAAAUUCAUCCAUACAUAACCUAUAGCUCAUUCGGCCAUUCAUCACUCAAACCAAUCAAAGCUUCAUAUCAAACUUCCUUGGCCGAGUACACAUAUAAGCACAUAAUGCACAUAUAUGCUCAUUUGUCUAGCUCAACUUCACCUAUCUACCAUUACUCAUAAAAAGAACAUGAAACAACCAUUUCCUUCAAUUCAAUUUAUGACCGAAUGCUCACAACACAAUAAUUUUCAAAAUUUAAACAUGGGUUAACUAAGCAAUGCUUUGACCAUGCUAAUUUCGCAAGAAUAUCAAGAAAAUACAUGGAACAUACCUUUGAAUCAUGCUAAGUAAAUGACAGAAUGUGCUUGAGCAUUUUCCUCUAUUUUUCUCUUAAUUUCGGCUAUGAAGAACAAAGAUGAACAAGUUUUGUCCUUUUCCUCAUUUUGUUAUUUUAUUUAUCUUUAUUUUAUAAUAUAAAGCCAUUAAAUAUUUUAAUGCUAAUUUAAAAUGCAUAUAUUGUUUAUCAUUAUCAUUAUGGCCAGCCACUACAAAUUAAAGUGGAAAAUUUGACAUGCAAAUCCACUUAUUUUAAACCAUAAAAUAUUUGGCCACUACAAAUUAACCUAUCACAUUUUCAAAAUUUCUCACAUAAGUCCUAUUUAAUAAUUUCACAUACAAAUGACAAAAUCAAAGUAUGAAAUUUUCAUACAUACACUUUCACAUAUAAUAAGCAUAGAAUAUAACAUUUAAUUAUUUUUUUGUGAUUCGGUUUUGUGAUCCCGAAACCACUUUUUGACUAGGAUCAAAUUAGGGCUGUCACAUCAUUGCCCUCUUCUUAUGUCAUUGGAUAAGAAAAAUAAAACGGCUCACAUAUCCUCGUUUCGGUUUGAAGCAUCAUGGUUAUUAGAAGACUCCUUUAAGAAGAUGAUUAUAGAGUCUUGGUAGAAUUUAACAGGGCUAUUAACAGAUAAGUUGGAGGGGUUAAAACAGAGAAUUCUUCUAUGGGCAAACCAAAUAAAUAAUGCAAGAAGAGGUAUCAAGUAGAAUAUAAAAAACAAUGGGAAUGCUUGCUGGAUGAGGAUAUAAGUGAAGAAAACUUGGCUAAAAUCAUUGAUACGAAAAUUUCUCUCAAUCUAGAAAUUGACAAAGAUAAAGCUUACUGGAAGCAAAGUGCACGUGUUAAUUGGCGGAGAUUAGGAGAUAGAAACACAACAUUCUUUCACAAAUGGGCCACACAACGACAUAAAACUAAUGAUAUUCGUAGUUUGCAAGAUCAUAAUGGGGGGAACAUGGAUGAUGAAGAUGGGAUACAAGGAUUAUAAAGAAUUAUUUUUAGGAUUUGUUUGCGUCUUUAGGAAUAAGUUAUACGGAGAUGAGUUUAUAGGGAGUGCAGAGAUGUAUAACUGAAGAUAUGAAUGCACAACUUACAGUAGAAUAUACGGCUGAAGAAAUAUGGGCAGCAUUAAAGGGAAUAGGUCCUACAAAAGCCCUCGGUACCGAUGGACUUCCAGUAAUUUUCUUUCAAAAAUGUUGGAACAUAGUUGGGACAGAGGUAACCUCUUUUUGUUUGGAGAUUUUAAAUCAGAGGAAAGAUUUAGAGAGUAUUAAUGGUACGAAUAUUGUUUUAAUUCCUAAAACCUCACAGCCCAUUGAUAUGAAGAACUUUAGGCCUAUUGGCCUGUGCAAUGUCCUCUACAAGAUAAUAGCUAAAGUAGUGGCUAAUAGAUUUUAAAAUGUCCUAAAAGUUUACAUUGAUAAAGCUCAAAGUGCAUUCGUUCCAGGCUGACUUAUUACGGAUAAUGUGCUUGUGGCUUAUGAGAUCAUGCAUACGUUGAAGAAUAAAAGAGUAGGGAAAAAAAGGGCAUGUGGCACUUAAACUGGCCAUGAGCAAAGCCUAUGAUAGGGUCGAAUGGGAAUUUCUUAGGGUUAUGAUGGAGAGAAUGGGUUUUGCACAAUCUUGGGUGGCUUUCAUAAUGAAGUGUAUUUCGACGGUCUCCUAUUCAGUUCUUUUAAAUAGGAAAAAGGGAGAAGUUUUCAAACCAAUAAGAGGACUCCGACAAGGGUACCCCCUCAGUCCCUAUUUAUUUCUAAUUUACAGUGAAGGCAUGUCCUCAAUUAUACACCCAGCUCUAAUAAGAAAGGAAAUCAAAGGAUUGAAAGCUAGCAGACGAGGACCUAAGAUCUCACACAUUCUCUUUGCAGACGACUGCAUCAUUUUUGGUGAGGCAAUAUUUUUAGGAGCUUGAUAGAUCAAGAAUAUUUUUGCAGAAUAUGAAUCCUACUCAGAUUAGUGUGUGAACUUUGCAAAGUCUAUAAUAUUCUUUAGCACGAAUACUACAGAAACAAAUAAAUUGAUAGUUACGGGCUUGCUAGGCAUGAGGAGAUCAACUGAUAUUGAGAAAUACCUAAGUCUCCCUAAUUUGAUAGGGAAGAAAAAGAAAACUUCUUUCCAAAAUUUAAAGGAUAGGAUGAAAAGAAAAAUUGAUGGAUAGAGUUCUAGGUUCUUGUUACAAAGUGGAAAAGAGGUUUUUAUUAAAUUAGUUUUGCAAGUGAUUCCAACUUAUUCUAUGAUGUGUUUUCUUUUGCCAAAAACUUUAUGUGAGGAAAUGGAAUCAAUUAUUGCAAGGUACUGGUGGCAGAAGGGUCAUGGACGAAAAGGAAUACAUUGGUGCAGUUGGAAGAAUAUUUGUGAAUUAAAAUAUGAAGGAGGAUUGAGUUUCCAGGAUUUGGCCAAGUUUAACGUGGCUCUACUUGCUAAGCAAGGUUGGCGGUUAGUUGAGCAUCCAGAUUCUUUAGUAGCACAGGUUUUAAAAGCAAAGUACUACCCGACCACUAAUUUUCUACAAGUAGGGCUAGGAUGUAGACCUUUAUACAUGUGGAAAAGUAUUUGGGCAGCAAAAGGUCUUAUUAAAGAAGGUUUGGGGUGGAGAGUUGGCACUAGGGAAAAAUCUUAAUUAAUGAGGAUGCGUGGCUCCUUCGGGCAGCUAAUUACAGAAUUUGUUAUCCUAUUCUUAAUACUGAUAUUACUACUGUCAUAUCAUUAAUUGUUUGUAAUAAUAGGAGGUGGAAGGAAGAACUGAUUCGCAAUACCUUUAAGGCAAACAAUUCAGACAGAAUCUUAUGAAUCCCACUAGCGUUAGACGAGCAUACUGAUAUGGUCAUCUGGUGUGCAGAGCGCUCGGGUAAGUUCACAAUUUGUAGUGCUUAUAGACUAUUACAGACCUAAGAUCAUACAUCAGACUCUACUGCUACACAAAAUACAACCAAACUAUUUUACAAACAACUCUGAACACUCCAAAUACCAAAUAAAAUUAAAAUUAUGCUAUGGAGGAUAACACGAAACUAUUCCCAUGAUGGGCAACUUGUUUCAGUGAAGAGUGGUCCGAGAUUAUAAGUGCCCUAGAUAUAAAGCUUGCUCUGAGAAUCUAUGGUCUACAUUCGUUGGGUGUCUUAUAGCAAUAGAGUUAUGGAGAAGAUUAGAUUUUGAAUGGAUAAAUCAAGGUGAACCCAGUGGAUGGUUUGAUUGGAUUACAUGGAUUUUUAGUAAAUAUGGAGAAACCCAGCAUCGCGUUUUUGUCUGUGGAAUGUGGGUACUAUGGCUUGACAGAAACAGAAAUUUACAUGAAGAGAAGUCAUAUAAAGGGGAAGAUGCAACAAAUCAUGUUAAAUAUUAUAUUGGCGAAAUUGAUGGAUUGAAUGGGAGACAACCUAAAAUUACCCAGGAAGUUGAAAACUGGAAAGCCUCUGAGAAAUAAAAAAUCAAAAUCAAUUUUGAUGCCUCGUUUGAUAGUAAAAAUAACAUAUCAGCAUCUGGGAUAGUGGCGAGAACUGAAAAUUGUAACAUCCCGAAUUAGGGCCUAGUCGGAACAGUGGUUUUGAAACCACAAAUCUAAAGUAGAAAUAAUUAUUUUAUGAUUAUUAUAAGGUCUAUGAUAUGUUUACAUUCUUGUGUGAAAAUUUCAUGAAGAAAUUUUGUCUAAGGUGCUCAAUUAGACUUUAAGGACUAAAUUGAAUAAAUUGUAAAAUAUGAGUUCUAGAAGUUUUCAGUAUGAAAUUGAAUUGGAGUUUUAAUUAGAGGGUCUUAAAUAGCAAUUUGACUCAGUUCUAAAAUUUUGGACAAAAAUGGACUUGAAUAGAUAAAAUUUUAAAGAAAGGCUAAAAGGGCAUUUUGGUCAUUUGGUCAUUAAAUGGACUAAUGUCUAAAUAAAUAUGGGAAUGUGUUGAAUUGGAUGUACAUUGUAUGGUUAGCUAUGCAUAUUGAGAUACUUGAUGAAAAUAGAAAAUCCUGGUUGAAUAAAAAGGGGAAUCCGAUGGAUAAACCAUGGCUUACAUGACUUGAGAUCCUGCAUGUAUUGCAGAAAAGGAUUUAGCCCGGACGGGUAAUCCGUUGAUCUCAAAUAUAGAAAAUGAUCUAGCCUGGACGGGUGUUCCUUGAGUGAUCGAGCCUCCCGAAGAAUAUGUGUGCAUUAAGAAUUUAGCCUGGACGGGUAAUCUGAUUAGGAUCUGAAUUUAGCCUGGACUGGUAAUUCAGAUCCGAUCUCAUUUGGGUAUAUGUCGUUGUAGGGUAUUUAGCCUGGACUGGUAAUCUCGACAAUACUCUAUGAGUUUAUAUUACUGGGGAUUUAGCCUGGAUUGGUAAUCUCGCCGUAAGAUGUAAGGUUUGCGGGAGUGCGUAUUUGAAAUGAUCACUUGUAUGACUUGACGGUAAAUGGAUUAUCCAUCGAGAUUUUUGAGAAAUUCAACGGGUAUUAUAAUGAAUAAUGCGAUGAAAGUCCCGAGAUGGGCAUGGUGAUAAAGGUAAAGUUAAUUGAUAUGCUACGGAUAUGUACAGGUACGUACAUUAUACUCAUAAGUGAUGCCUUAUUGAAAUGUGAUAAAUGAUGAGUAAGCAAAUUCAUGCAUAUGUAUGCGUAUACAUGAUAAACAAGUAAAAAGGUUUGAAAGAUGAACCAUCCUUAUGCUUAUGAUUAUGGAUUGUGUUGUAAUAUCAUGUUAAUUUACAUUGUGUAAUGAGAUAUGGGUUUCAUGAAAUGAUGAGUUCAUGAUCAAUAAGCUUAUAAUAGUUACUAUGAAUUUGCACUGAAACAGUUUUGGACAGCAAUAAUAGUCCAACUUUGAAAAUCCACCAAAAAUAAUGGAAAUUGAGUUAGAGACUGAAUCAAAUAUGAAAUUAAAGCUUAUUGGGUCUAGUUUCAGUUAAAAGGAAUGGUGCUAGUAAAGGAAUCUCAUAUGAUGAGAUAUUUGAAUUCUUGUGAGACAGUGUCAGAAUGAGUUCGAAAUCCCCUGUUUUGACUUGGGAAAAUUACUAGAAAUUGUACAAAAAUAAUUAUGAGUUAGAAUCAUAUUAAUGAAAUCCUUAAUGAGUAUAAUUUCAGUAUAAAGAUACGGAAACAUUAUCCGAGUCUCGUACUAUGCGAUAAAUAAAUUUUAGUGAAGAAAGGUAGAAGCUGUCAAACAGUGAAACAUGAGAGAAUUUGAAUAAUAAACUGUACUUAUUGGCUAGACAAAAAAUUCUGGAAAUUUUAUUGUAAGGAGAUAAAUGAGUCUAGUUUCAGAAAAAAUUAAUGAAUCUUAAUUUGGAGUUCUGUAACUCUAGAUAUAAAUAAAUUAAUAACUACGACUCGAGAAAACAGCUUAACCAGAAUAUGAGUAAAAGUGUCAUUAUGGUUGAUUGCCUAAGGAAACAUGUUGUUAUAAUGCUUAUUAUUUUCAUAUGGACUUACUAAGCUUUAGGCUUACUCCCUCCUUUCCAUUUCCUUAGUGUUCUCAGGUUAGCUUGGGGUUGGAGAUCGUCGGAGGCAGCAUCAAACUAUCAAGUUAUCAACUCUAGAGUAUUGUCAUACGUGUAUUAAACACUUUCAAGUGAGUGGCAUGUAUAAGGAUUAGGUUUUACAUUAGAUGUUGUUAUGAUUAGCCAAAUGUACCAGCUUAUAUUGAUCUAUUGUAUAUAGCCAUGAGAUGUGGCUUAUUAUGGUUAUGGCUUGUAAGUCUAAUUAUUCGUGCUAUGGGUUAAUGCAUGUCGUGUGAUUAUAAUUGGUUGCUAUGAAUAAUUAGUAUAACACAUGUAUAUGAUGAAUGUCCUAGAACCAUUCGAGGUGAUCACGGCCAUGGAAUGAAUAUAUGGCCUGGUAGUUAGUUGAAAAUGAUUAAACAUGGACAAUUGUAGAAUGUGUAGAGAUUAAAUGCUGGGUAAUAAACACAUGUAAGACAAUAUGCAAUUUAUUUAUUUGAAUCUUUCUCAAGGUCGAUUAACAAUUAAAUUGAUGCUAUAAGUUAGGUCCAUGAUGUGUAAAGUAUGGGAAAGAAUUAAGGACAACAUAAGGCUUCGAAAAUAGCCUAAGUGUUGGCCAUACGGGCAGAGAACGGCCAUGUUUCUCAGCCAUGUGGAGGACAUGGUCUAGCACACGGGCGUAUGGCUUGACCGUGUGGAUCAAUUUGUUUGGCUAACAUUAUAAAUAGAGAGUUACACUGGCCGAGGAUAUGAGCGUAUUCCAAGCCACACAGGCGUGUGUGACCACACGGCCCAACCCACACGGGCAUGUGACUCUCCAAAGCAAGAAAAUUGGUUAAGUUGUCAAAAGUUUGUCGAAAGUUCUCAGUUCAGUCCGAACCACCCCAAUGCAUGUUACAGGCUUCGAAGGCCUAUUUAAGGGACGAUAUGCAUGUGUUUAAGAUGUUUUAAUUUUGGGCAAAAAUUUUGUGACCUGAUUUUGCAUGUUGUGAAUGUUUAAGUCUGGUAACGCCUCGAACCCUGUCUCGGCAUUGAAUACGGGUAAGGAGUGUUACAAAAAUGAGGAGGUUGAAAUUUCUAAAUGUUACCUUCAUAUAACGGUAGGCACGGCCUUUGACGCAGAAGCGAUUGCCUGCUACGAAGCUGCUCUCACAAGAUUAAAGAUAGGAUACACAAAGGUUGUUAUUGAGAACGACUCCAAGUCCAUCAUCAACAAAUGCAUGACACAAUCGGUGGACAAAUCACAAGUUAGUGCGCAUAUUCGAAAUAUUCGAAGAGAAAAAAGUAAGUUCUAGACCAUUACAUUUCAUUAUGUUCCAAGAUCGGCUAAUCACUUAGCCAACACCAUUGCUACAACAAGUUUGAAGGAAAUGGAGACGAUUUACCUGCUUGGAGAGGUCCCUUGCUACACCAAUAGACAGUGGGAACUGGAUCACCCACGGGAACCUAAUUGAAACGAAGAAGAGGAAAACAGGGAAUGGGGUAUUUGAGAGCGACCCUAAUCAAAACUGUCAGGCCUCAUCUCCAAUGAAAAUGAAAAGUUAUCCGUGUAAAAGGCAAAGUUGGAGACAGGUCAUUCAAAAUGGAUGAGGAUUUUAAGUUUAUUUAUUGUUUUAAUUAGUUUUGGUCUUUUUGCUUCUACUUUUAGCCGUCGCUUUGUUUCUUUUUAGUCUGAUGAUUAGACUAGUGCUUUUC